UUGAUGCAGGUAUUCAAUAUCCAUUUAGGUAUCAAUAUCCAUGUGGAUAUUGGCUAUAGCUAUUCAGGAUUGAUGCAGGUAUUCAAUAUCCAUUUAGGUAUCAAUAUCCAUGUGGAUAUUGGCUAUAGCUAUUCAGGAUUGAUGCAGGUAUUCAAUAUCCAUUUAGGUAUCAAUAUCCAUGUGGAUAUUGGCUAUAGCUAUUCAGGAUUGAUGCAGGUA
Molecule: long non-coding RNA, 219 nt
Organism: Serinus canaria (Common canary)
Lineage: Eukaryota; Metazoa; Chordata; Aves; Passeriformes; Fringillidae
Exons: 3
Source: RefSeq, a predicted model, not a curated record